CGAGCCAGCGCUGCGCGCUCAUUGGGCCGCUAAGUUCCUGCCCCCAAGGCAGGGUCACGUGUUCCGCUCAGCUGGUGCCGGUUCCAGGGAUCUCUUCGGACCAGGAGUUACUCUGUCGCUCCUGCCUAGCUCAGAGGGAAGAUGCACGGACACCAGCGAAGACGAGGGCCAGGAACACUGGACACCAUGGAUCAGGAUUCGGGAACACAGGAACGCGAUGGGAUCUCCACACGGAUGCAACCUUGAGAUCUCAGCCGUCCGUGUUCUCACUGGCUGAAAGACUCCAAAGAAUCAGGAAGAGGCCAUGGAGAAGCAAGGAAGACAUGUUGCACGAAGUAAUGCAGCAUUCAAGUAAUGAAAAUCAAAAAGUGCAGGAGUGGCGGGAGAGUGAAAGGAGGAUCUGCCAGCAGAAUGAGGCGCGCCGGCACAAAAGCGCGGAGCUCCGACAGAAAAGCACAGAUCGUCUGAUAAGCAUCAUGGAGCGCCAAGCGGACUCUAUCCAGGCGCUCGUAGCCAUGCAGGCAGAGUACUACCAUGCCCACCCCACCCUCCCACAGCCCUUGUCCCAAAACUCUUUCCCUCCAACCCACUUUCCCCAACAUCCGGGUUCUUACUGCCCCCAUCUGCCUCCUACACCUGUAGCUUUACCACCCAGCCCUGAAAACUACGACCCUUACCCUCUGCACUCAUCCCCCAUCACCAUGCAGUAUAGCUAUCCUGAAGUGCAGCCCUCAUUGCACAGCACUCCAGACAGGAAGGCUGAGUAUGAUAA
Molecule: long non-coding RNA, 772 nt
Organism: Chrysemys picta bellii (western painted turtle)
Lineage: Eukaryota; Metazoa; Chordata; Testudines; Emydidae
Source: RefSeq, a predicted model, not a curated record